AAAAACAUAGCCUUAAGAUAAUUAUUUAAGGUUAAACCUGCCCAAUGUAAGUUUAAUCAAUGGCCGCGGUACUUUGACCGUGCUAAGGUAGCGCAAUCAAUUGGCUUUUAAUUGAAGUCAGGUAUGAAAGGAAUCACGGGGUUAAGCUGUCUCUUAACUAUUUUAUUGAAAUUACUAUAUAGGUGAAAAAGCCUAUAUUAAGAAAAAGGACGAGAAGACCCUUAGAGUUUAUCUUAAAUUGAAAUUACUUUUCAAAACAGUUUAGUUGGGGCAACAGGGGAGCAAAAACUAAUCUCCCUAUAAAACAAAUCGAUUAUUUUAGGUGUGAGUAAACUACCUUAGGGAUAACAGCAUAAUUUUAUAUAUAAGUUUGUGACCUCGAUGUUGGACUAGGAAACUAAGAGGCUAGCCGCCUCUUAGGUAAGUUCUGUUCGAACUAAUUAUUCCUACGUGAUCUG
RNAcentral lists this ribosomal RNA (458 nucleotides) under Limacia antofagastensis. RNAcentral's name for it is "partial 16S ribosomal RNA". It matches the Rfam family "Bacterial large subunit ribosomal RNA", at positions 1809 to 2607 of the family's 2925-position model. The record is from RNAcentral. Lineage: Eukaryota; Metazoa; Mollusca; Gastropoda; Nudibranchia; Polyceridae.